UUUUUUUUUGGGUUUGGAUUGGAAUAGAUUUUGACUGGUAGAACGAGUUAGCUUGCAAGCCUAGGUCAAGAAUAAAAUUCUUUACCUAAUAUAGAAAAAAUGGACUUCAACUUGGGGGCUGUGUUAAAUUCUUGUGUAUACCUGUAGAUAUUAAGCUUCAAGAUUUUCUUGAUGCACCCUGACACCAAGGAAAACAUCCUUAAUGAGAUGUAAUUUUCUGACUACUUCAUUCAUAUGCAUCCUAUCAUUUGGUAAUCUUGCAGAGCACAUAAGUCCAAUUUUCAGCAGGGAAAUAAUGCACUCCAUCUCUUUCCCACCAUUGCUAUUUUUCCCUCCAGGAGUCAUAUUUCUGUUUUCAUCUCCUUCAAGAAAAAGCAACGGGUCCGCUAUCUCAGAAACUCGUUCAUGCAAAGCCCCAUUAACAUAGUUAUGUAGAUCAAGAUCACCCACGAAUGUAUCAUCUGUUGGCCUCCUUCCUGUAAUCAUCUCUAACAAAAGAAUACCGUAGCUGUAGACAUCCCCCUGAGUUGAUGCCGCAAGACCCAUUCCAUACUCUGAGAUUUUGUUUCGAGACAUAUUAUUAUUGGGUAGUAAAAGAAAAACUAUAUAAAAGAAAUAAUUGAUUAAAAUUAAUCAAAUGUUAGAUUGGGGCAUAAUGGACCUCCUUUUAGAACAAAAUGACUUUAAUUCAAAUUAGCUACUAUGCAUCGGUGAUUAGAGAUCUCAUAGUAAUUAUAAUAAAAAAAUUAAAAAGAAUUAAAUGUCCCAAAGUUCUAUAUUUCUGCGCACAAUUAAGUAAAUUCUUGACCAUAAAAAUUUGUGUUACCUGAGGCUGCGUAGUCGAUUGUUCCUUUUAUAGCAAUAGUACUGCUGCCUUCUUGCUCGGAAGAUCUGUUGACGGGUUUCGGGAGAAGCCUUGCCAAUCCAAAAUCUACCACAUGAGCAACAAGAUCAUUGUCAAGAAAAAUGUUACUUGGUUUUAGAUCACAGUGAACAAUCUCAGCUUCGCAGUGGUUCUGAAGAAACUGCAAUGCAGAAGCCACAUCAAUUGCAAUGUUCAGCUUCUGAGAAAGAUUAAGACUUCUUGAGCUUGUUGCCUGAUCAGUUGUCUCUGAAGGAUGCAGCCACAAGUCCAGAUUUCCAUUUUCCAUCAACUCAUAGACUAGAGCUUUGAAUUCAUCACCCUUGGAAUCAAUACUGGAGCAAUAACGCACGACAGAAACGAGGUUUCUAUGGCGAAUAUUUCUCAAUGCUUUGCACUCCGCCUUAAAACUUUUCGAACCUCCAUUCUUUCGAAGAUCAAGAACUUUAACUGCUACAAGCUUGUUGCCAUGUUUUUCUAGCCUUCCUUUGUAGACAGCUCCAAAAUUUCCUGAACCAAUUAAGUUUUCUGGAGAAAAUCUAGAAGUUGCACGAAGAAGUUCAUGGUAAGAAAUUCGCAAGAGCUUAUUGACUCUUGUAGGCAUGCUAGAGAAUCCUGUCACCAUUCUUCUUUCUCUUUUUCGAUGUACCAAGAAAUAUAACAACAAUGCACCGAGAACCAGAAGCGUUGCUGGUAAAACAAUGGACAGCAAUAUGACAACCUUCAGCUUUCCUCUGUUUUUCCCCUUGAUCACUGGGCAAGGUGGGAACUCCAAUUCUGGAAUGCCUCCACAGAGUUUGUUAGGGCUGGCCCAGGAAAUAGACAAACUAAAGUUAGCACAAAUUAGGCGGUAUAACCGACCAUAUAAUAGAUAGGCGGUAGAUACCAGUCAUAUAAUAAUUAGGCGGUAAAACCGACCAUAUAAAGACGGAUAACAAAGCAAAUAAAAGACACAGAAGAUUUACGUGGUUCGGUCAAAUUGACCUACGUCCACGGACGAGGGAGGAGCAAUAUUUCUACUAUGAAAAAGAAAUACAAAAGACCGUAGGAAAGUGGUUCCUAGACCAAUAGGCACUUACAAAAGAGUUUAGAAAAUAUUCCUAAACUCAAAACAAGAGAGCCUAAAAUAUUUGACUGAAUGGGCUAAAUGACUCAAGAAACUAAUAGCCCAUAUUACUCUCUUGAGUGGUGCAAUUAAUUCCUUCAUAAAUCCCUUCUAUUUAUAGGCUCUCCAAUGAAGCCUUCCUGCUGUCUGCUGCGAUGUGGGAUGAAAGGAAGAAAACUUCCUUACGUAGCAUCUGAUGUGGGACGAAGAAUUUUGCCACACAAGGUCAAACCUUGCGGCACAACAGAGUUUGUUGUUGCCAGUCAAUGAUAUUUGACUUGCAAUACUGAAGACUCCAGUGUUCGGUAUCUCACCCUCGAUGUCGUUAUAGGAAAGGUUUAAGUACCUCAAAAAUUGAAGCUUCUCAAGUUCUUUGGGUAUUAGACCAGUCAAGUUAUUACUUGAAAGGUCUAAUUGUUGGAUGCUCUUCAAAGAAGCCAAAUUUGGUGGAAUUGUUCCUUGGAAAAAAUUGGCAUCCAUAUAAAGAUUCUCCAGAUCUGAACAGUCAGCAAGUGAGAUGGGUAUAGCUCCAGCAAGUUGGUUGUGGGAAACCGAGAAAUUCACCAUAUGUACAAGCUUUCCAACUUCAGGAGGCAGAGAACCAGUGAAAGAAUUUUCACUUAAUCCCAUAGCAAUCAGUGAUGAGUGCGUCUCCAGAAAAUGUGGUGAUAUAAAUCCAGUGAAGUUGUUUUGAGAUAUAUCCAGAAUUUGCAAAUUUUGACAGUUCAUAAGAACAUUGUCAAAUAUAUUGCCCCCUUCAAACUGGUUGGUCGACAAAUACAGCUCGGAUAGACCGGUGGCGUUGCAUAGAGUAGAGACCAUCUGUCCUGACAACUCAUUUAGGCUUAGACUUAGAAUUUGCAAAUUUUGUAAUUUGCCAAAAUCUCUUGGAAUGACCCCUGAAAGAUAGUUUUCUUCAAGGCCAAGUCGAAUUAGGUUGACAAAGUUUCCAAAUCCUUGUGGAAUGGUUCCUGACAGUUGAUUUGUUCCCAGGUACAAUUUAGUGAGUUGAUUUGAUAGAUUGCCCAUGACUUUAGGUAUAUUACCUCCAGAAUUAUUGUAACUCAAUGAAAAAGCGCUUAGAUCACUGCAGUUGGUCAAUGAUGCAAUAAAAUCUAAGUCUCCAGUUGAAUUACCGCCGAAGAGGUUUACUUCAAGAUUUAAAAAUUGAAGAUUUGUCAGAUCUCCUAAAUUAGUUGGAACUUGGCCUGCGAACUUAUUGCUGGAAAGAUCAAGUUCCUCAAGCCCAGAAGCAUUGGUGAUUGAAGUGGGAAAGUUUCCAGAGAAAUUAUCUCAAAUAAUCUGAAAAAUCUGAAAUGGAGAGCUUCCUUGAGUGUGGUACAACUUUUGUGCUCCCAAGUCAAUCGUGAACAGUGUAUCGCGCGUAGAGCUGCAAACGAGCCGAGUCGAGCUUUGAGCUAAUCGAGCCGAGCCUCAACUAAAUUUUACCAAGCUCGAGCUCGACGAGCCGGCAAAUUUCGAGCUCGAGCUCGACUCGAAUCAAGUCGAGCCGAGCUCGAGCUCGAGCUCGAGCUCAAAAAAAAAUAAAAAAUAAUUAUUUUAUUUUUUAAAAAAUAAAUAAAAUAAUAUUUUUUUCUUAAUAAAUAAUAAAAUAUUAAGGAUAUAUACAUAAUUUUACUCGAGCUAAAAAAAAAAUAAAAAAUAAUUAUUUUAUUUUUAAAAAAAUAAAUAAAAUAAUAUUUUUUUCUUAAUAAAUAAUAAAAUAUUAAGGAUAUAUACGUAAUUUUACUAUAAAAAUAAAAAAUAAAAAAAUAUAUAUAUAAUAUACGUAAUUUUAUUAUUAAAUAAAAAUAAAAAAAAUAUAUAUAUAUAUAUAUACCCAAGCUCGCGAGUCGGCUCGCGAGCUAACGAGCUUAAUAUUCUGAGCUCGAGCUCGAGCUCGAGUUUGACUCGAGCCGCUCGCGAGCAGCUCGAUUCGUUUGCAGCCCUAAUCGCGCGCGCGUUUCGCGCCCGUUUCCUCUGAGGUUUGUUUUGACUGUGCACUAAACCUCUAAUACACAUAUAUUCAUGUAAUUAUCAUUCACUCUUAAUGACCUCAAAAUAAGGUUCUAAAGUCCUUCAAAUAAAUCGCGCGCGUAAAACGCGUAUUUCCCACUUAUGCGCGAUAAGGUGAUUUUUUUGAGAAAUUCUUAUAACGAUGGCAUUUCUAACUAAUACAUGGAUAUUUAGGCAUAAAAAUACCUAUUUUAAGACUAGGGUAUAAAUCUCCCAUUAUUCGGGCUCAUGAACUCUCAAGUCAGUUACUAUUCCUGAGCCUACGGGCACUAUUCACACUUAACAACUUUCAAGACUUGAAUUGCGAACUAAUUGCCUUAAAAUUACUCAUGAGCUAUAAUGCUAUAGAAUUGGGUCCAAUAGGGCUAGAAAAUAAUAUUCGAAAUAAUUAAACAAUUAACUAAUUAAAUAACCUCAGAAUGGGAAUUUAAAAGAAAUAAAUUGCGAGUCCUCACAUUCCUGAUCUAACAUUUCUCCAACUUAAUUAUACCUUUUUAUAGCCUCUACAUAUACUAUAUUUCAACUUAGGACUAAUUCGCGCGUCGGUGCGCGAAAAUUCAACUUAGGGCUUUGCCAAACGCGAACCGUCAAUUAAAUCUUAAAAAUUCAAAUAAAUUGAAUUGUAACAUUUGAAUGAUUGAAAACAAUAUUAUUUAAAUAUAAAUACAUAUUAUUGGAUAAUUUUAAUAUUUUGAUUUAAUUUUCCAGAGGAUAAUAAAAUUUUUGAGGUCCUCACAUGAUUAAUUUUAGUUAAAAUGCUAAGUUAACCGAAUUAUUUUGUUAAUUUUGAGCAUUCCGUCGAGAAUGGUAUUUAAGCAGGAUGGAAUUUACCGUUUAAAGAGUAAAGUGUAGUUUAAGGAUGAAAAAGAUAGUCGAAGUAAAGAGUGCAAAGUAGAAUUAACACAAGUAAAAGUUAAAAUAACGGUGUUAUUUCAAACAAGUUGAAAAUGAGAUUGUUUAAUGAACAAAUUAUUAUUGGCAUAUAAAUAAGCAGGUUUUUAGAUACUUACAAAGUUUGAUAUUUAAAUGGGUUAUUAUAACUUUAUCCCCUUAAACUAUAUCAUUACUAUCAGUUUAUCCCCUAACGUUAUCUUUUAAUUACUUUACCCCUAUAAGUAAUUCAACUCAAUAUGUUAAGAAAUUUUGGACAAAAAUACCUUUUUAUUUUAUAGCAUUACUACAUUGUUAUUAUCACUUUAUUCGUUUAUAUUAUAGUGAUACAAUAACUUUAGUUCCUAACAUUAUUUUCUAUGCAUUUUACUUCAUCGUUAAUCUAACUAGUAUGGUAAAAAAAUUUUAAAUAUAUUUACCCUUUUUAUAUAUAAUUAAAAAUAAAAAAGUUGGAAUGGUUAUUCGUCUUCUUUUUUUUACUUUAAGUGAUCGAAAAACAUAAAAAUAAAAGGGUUUUCUCAAAUUUUUUUCACACUUAUUAAUACUAGGAAAAGAAAAAGAGAUAGAAAAAAAGAAGAAGAAAGAAAAUUAGAUUUUGCAAAGAAAGAAAAUAAAAAAAAGUCUAACAUUAUCGUAUUACAUUAAGGUUGUCGGGAUUAGAAUUUGGUAGUAAACAGAAAUGUGAAAUAAUUUUAAAAUAAUAAAAGUAUUUAAUUCUUUCUUAUUUGUAAUUUUUAAAAAAAGAAUUGAACUCUCUCCCCCUCCCCCUCCCCCUCCCCCUCUCCAUCUUUCUAUUCUUUUUUGAUAUUAAUAAAAUUGCCAAGAAAAAAGAAAUUAAUACUUUGAUUUUUUUUUUCUUACUACUAAAAAGGAGAAUAGCCACUAUAAAUUUUUUAUUAUUUUUAUUAUGCAAAUAGGAAGGUAUUUUCUACUAAAGUUUUUUAAUUUGCUAAGUUGGUUUAAUGGUAGGAUAAAUUGCCUAAAAAAUAACUCUAGAGGUAAAUUGAUAAUGAGACUAUAGUUUAUGGGGGUAAAGUGAUAAUAAUUUUAAGGGUUAAACAUGUCUAAUUAACAAACUCUGUUAAGUUUGACCGUUAGUUUUGGAGGUAAAGUGACUAAAAAAUAACGUUAAAUGGGAAAUUGAUAGUGGCACCAAACGUUAAGGGGGCAAAAUGAUAAUAAACCCUAUUUAAAUUCAAAGUCAGACAACUUGGCAUACCUCUAAACUCGUAAAUGUACACGUUAAUAGUGUAGAAAAGAUUAAAUACUUAAUGAUAUUAUACCUUCAUGUAAGUUGGUAUUUCACUUUGCUUCAUUAACUAAUUUUGUCAAAACAUUCCCUCAAAAAAGAAAAGGAAAGUUUUGUCAAAACAUUGCAGUUUGCCCCCUAUACACUUUUUUGCUUUUCCUUUUUCCCUGCUAAUGGAGUCUCUUAUUACUAUGAUGGCAGAAUGUUCCCAAUUGAUACCUUACCCAAUUUGUGCUUCUCCCAAAUUUUGACCCUAAGUUGGGCUGCCAGAGCCAGAGGACGCGACUUGCACAUGGAUAAAUUAUUCACUCAAAAAUCCUUUUCCCUUCUGAUUUUUUUUUUCUUGGCAGUUUCUCCAAUUAUUUAACAUUUUAUCUUUUUUUUUAAUUUCUCCUUCCUCUUCACUUCCUUCUUUAACUUUUCUUUCAACCCGAUAUUGCCUAGGUUACUUACUAGGCCCUACUAACAUUUUACGUUCAAAAUCAUCAAGAUAUGGCAUAAAAGUAUGAGCCCCACCAUGACUAGAUCCAUAGCUUUAAGAGGCAAGGUGACUUAAUUGAGCAAUAGAUGGAUAUGGUAAUAAGGGAACAUAUGAAUUUAUUGUACAAUUGAUCCUCUCCUUUUAUCCCCUUAUGUUGUUCUCAUUGUAACUGAAAUUUCAUAUAGUAGCAAAAUCAAAAUUCAAAGAAAGUGGGAGCAAGACUAUGCAUUGUAAGUAUAAUGUAUUGCAUAUUAUUUAAGCACUAGAUCCAAGCAUAAUAUGGAAGCAUUAAGAUGUUCAAGCAGAACUGAGCCAAUUGACUGCCUCCAAGAUCACCUAAUUCUAAGACUAUAGGAAUAUGUUUGAAUCAUCCAUUUAUAUUUUUAUUUUCAAAUAAAAAGCCAAAGGUGUCUUCUUCAUUAGCUCACCCCAUUAACAACUUCAGCUUGGAGAUUCAGACCUGUAAGUAGCUGCAAAUCAAGAAUUCAUGCAUAAGUAUGAGAAGCCAUCUUUUUCCAUGCUUGUAAGCACAACACAUAGCUUUUGCCUUUUUUUUUUUUUGGUUUGGACUGGAAUAGAUUUUGACUGGUAGAACGAGUUAGCUUGCAAGCCUAGGUCAAGAAUAAAAUUCUUUACCUAAUAUAGAAAAAAUGAACUUCAACUUGUGGGCUGUAUUAAAUUCUCGAGUAUACCUGUGGCUAUUAAACUUCAAGAUUUUCUUGAUGUACCCUGACACGAAGGAAAACAUCCUUAAUGAGAUGUAAUUUUCUGACAACUUCAUUCAUAUGCAUCCUGUCAUUUGGUAAUCUUGCAGAGCACUUGAGUCCAAUUUUCAGCAGGGAAAUAAUGCAGUCAAUCUCUCUUCCACCAUUAAUAGUUUCCCCCCCAGGAGUCAUAUUUCUGUUUUCAUCUCCUUCAAGAAAAAGCAAUGGAUCCACGAUCUCAUAAACUAGUUCGUGCAACGCCCCAUUAACAUAGUUAUGUAGAUCAAGAUCACCCACGAACAUAUCAUCUGUUGGCCUUCUCCCUGUAAUCAUCUCUAGCAAAAGAAUGCCGUAGCUGUAGACAUCCCCUUGAGUUGAUGCCGCAAGACCCAUUCCAUACUCUGAGAUUUUGUUUCUAGACAUGUUAUUAUUGGGUAGUAAAAGAAAAAACUAUAAAAAAAAAAACUAAGUGAUUAAAAUUAAUCAAAUGUUAGAUUGGGGCAUAAUGGACCUUCUUUUAUAACAAAGUGACUUGACUAAAAUUAGCUACUAUGCAUCAGUGAUUAGAGAUCUCCUGUAAAUCUGAAAAAAAAAAUUUAAAAGAAUUAAAUGUCCCAAAAGUUCUAUAUUUCUGUGCACAAUUAAGUAACAUCUUGACCAUAAAAGGUAGUAAAUUAUAAUUACCUGGAGCUGCAUAACCGAUUGAUCCUUUUAAGGCAAUAGUACUGCUGGUUCUUUGCUCGGAAGAAGUGUUGACGGGUUUUGGGAGAAGCCUUGCCAAUCCAAAAUCACCCACAUGAGCAACAAGAUCAUUGUCAAGAAGAAUGUUACUUGGUUUUAGAUCACAGUGAACAAUCUCAGCUUCGCAGUGGUCGUGAAGAUAUUGCAAUGCUGAAGCCACAUCAAUUGCAAUAUUUAGCUUCUGAGAAAGAUUAAGACUUCUUGAGCUUGUUGCCUGAGCAGUUGUCUCUGAAGGAUGCAGCCACAGGUCCAGAUUUCCAUUUUCCAUGAACUCAUAGAUUAGAGCUUUGAAUUCAUCACCCUUGGAAUCAAUACUGGAGCAAUAACUCACGAUAGAAACGAGGUUUCUGUGGCGAAUAUUUCUCAAUGCUUUGCACUCGGCCUUAAAACUUUUCGAAGCUCCGUUCUUUUGAAGAUCAAGAACUUUAACUGCUACAAGCUUGUUGCCAUGUUUUUCUAGCCUUCCUUUGUAGACAGAUCCAAAAUUUCCUGAACCAAUUAAGUUUUCUGGAGAAAAUCCAGAUGUUGCACGAAGAAGUUCAUGGUAAGAAAGCCGUAAGAGCUCAUCGAUUCUAGGGGGCAUGAUAGAGAAUCCAGCCACCAGUCUUCUUUCUCUUUUUCGAUAUACCAAGAAAUAUAACAACACUGUAACAAGGACCAGAAGCGUUGCCGGUAAAACAAUGGACAGCAAUAUGACAACCUUCAGCUUUCCUCUGUUUUUCCCCUUAAUCACUGGACAAGGUGGGAACUCCAAUUCCGGAAUGCCUCCACAGAGUUUGUUGUUGCCAAUCAAUGAUAUUUGACUUGCAUUGCUGAAAAUCCCUGUGUUUGGUACCUCUCCCUCGAUGUUGUUGUAGGAAAGGUUUAAGUACCUUAAAUAUUGAAGCUUCUCAAGUUCUUUUGGUAUUGAUCCAGUCAAGUUAUUACGUGAAAGGUCUAAUUUCUGGAUGCUCUUCCAAGAAGCCAAAUUUGGUGGAAUUGUUCCUUGGAAAAAAUUGGCCUGCAUGGAGAGAUUCGCCAGAUUUGAACAAUCAGCAAGUGAUAUGGGUAUAUCUCCAGCAAAUUGGUUGUGGGAAACAUUGAAAUCCACCAAAUGUAUAAGCUUUCCAACUUCAGGAGGUAGAGAACCACUAAAUGAAUUUUCACCUAUUUUGAUGUACAUCAGUGAUGAUGAGUGCGUCUGCAAAAAUUGUGGUGAUAUAAUUCCAGUGAAGUUGUUAUGAGAUAUAUCCAGAUAUUGCAAAUUUUGACAGCUCAUAAGAACAUUGUCAAAUAUAUUGCCCCCUUCAAACUGGUUAAAUGAUAAGUUCAGAUGGUAUAGACGUGUGGCAUUGCAUAGGGUAGAGACUAUCUGUCCUGACAACUCAUUUUGGUAUAGACUUAGAAGUUGCAAAUUUUGUAAUUUGCCAAAAUCUCUUGGAAUGACCCCUGAAAGAUGGUUUUCUUCAAGGCCAAGGAGAUAUAGGCUGACAAAAUUUCCAAAUCCUUCUGGAAUAGUUCCUGACAGUUGAUUUCCCCCCAAGUACAAUUGAGUGAGUUGAUUUGAGAGAUUGGACAUGACUCUAGGUAUAUUACCUCCAAAUUUAUUGAUACUCAGGGCAAGGAUUCUUAGAUUACUGCAGUUGGUCAGUGAUCCAAUAAAACCCAAGUCGCCUCUAGAAUUACUGCCGAAGAGAUUAUCACUAAGAGAUAAAACAUUAAGUUGUGUCAGAUCUCCUAAAUUAGUUGGAAUUUGGCCUGCAAACAUAUUUUGGUCGAGAUCAAGUAUCUGAAGCCCAGAAGCAUUGGUGAUUGAAGUUGGAAAGUUUCCAGAGAACUUGUUUUCCCCAACAGCUAAUAGUUUCAGAUUUGGUAGGGUGAGACCUAUGUUGGUUGGGAGAUUACCAUAAAAGGAAUUUUCGGGUGCUGAAAUGGUAGUAAUGGCUGAACUAUUAAAGAUAGAAGCAGGGAUUGUACCAGAGAGUUUAUUUUCUGCAAUUCCUAAUUUAGCUAACCUUUUUAAGAGCCCCAUUUCCAUGGGCAAAUUUCCCUCCAGAUUGUUAAAGCCAAGACUGAGUGCAGUCAAUGAUGAUAAGUUACCAAUGCAGGAGGGAAUCUCUCCUGUAAAAUUGUUUGCGUGAAGAUAAAAAAUUUCAAGCUUCUUCAAAUUGCUCAGCUGAUCAAUCGGAAUUUUCCCCUCUAGCUUGUUCAUCUUUAGGUUAAUAGUCGUCAUCUCUAGGCAGUAGCUCAGGUUUGCUGGGAUUUUUCCACUGAUUGCGUUACUUGAGAGGUUCAAGACUCUCAGCCUGAAGAGGCGACCAAAUUCUUGGGGAAUCUCACCAUGGAAUUGAUUCUCCUCAAGAUGGAUGAGCCUCAUGAAGCUUAGAUUUCCGACAUGAGGAGAUAUGGUUCCAGACAACUGCUUAUGCCUUAGAAUCAAGGCUAUGACCCUUUGAUGUCGAGUACCACAAGUGACUCCUUCCCACUGGCAAUGGUGCUGUGAGUAGCUCCAAGAAUUCAGGACUCCAAACGGGUCAUCAUAUAUCUGCUUCUUGAAUUCAAGCAGAGCAAGGCGAUCGGUCUCAUUUUGAAAAUGUUUUGCAGCUGAAAAGUUCACGGCAACUGAGAGUAGGAGAAAAAUGCCCGCUAAUGUUGAUGAUGAGCGAAAUCCCCACAUGGUAUUUGGAAUUUGGAUGAGCUGUGAAGGCAAAGAUGGAUUAAUUUGCAACAAACUGAUGAUUGAAUGAUAAAAGUUUCUGCGGAAUGGGAACAAUAAUGUUUGAGCUGUUAUAGAAUCGUGUGUAUAGCCCACGCAAUUGGAACUAAUUUUCUUGGUAUAUUUCUGCGGAAAAUGAGCUAAACCUCGUUGUCAGAACUUAAUACAGAAAUGGUCAGUAAGCUUCCACCAACUUGCAAUUUACGCAUAUCGACCAUGACUAAUACUUUUCAAAGCUGGGAUUAAUGUGAUCAUCUACCAGAUCGAGAUGAUGAUUAACAGGAAGCCUUCAUUUGUGUGGAGUAUUUGAUCUUCCCAAUUAACACAAAUCACAAGAAUCUUGAUAUGCUAGAAUCUGUCGGUUGGCUUAGGUGAGUUCUGUUUAAUCUGUUCCCAAAUUUUCCCCUUUUUAUGUUGUUUUAAUGCCAUUUUCUCAAAAAAAAAAAAAAUUUAAUUUGUUUAAAAAGAAGGGUUUGUUUUUUAUGUUAUAAUUUUUAGUUUUUUUCUUUUUUUUUUUUAUGUUAACUUAAUGUCAUAUGUGCAUAAUCAGACUGUCAUCCUGAAGCUAAUUUGCUUCAUUUUAGAAUGUGUGAUAGACAAGAAAAAGUUUUUUUUUUUCCAAAACAUGAGAGACAAUUUGGUGGUCCCAAGAUUUUUAAUGAAACGGAAAAAUACUUAGUGAAGACUAUCAUUUAAGGUAGCAUGUACGGUCCGCAGCUGGGAAAAUGGUUAUUGGUCCUUUACGUAUCAAUUUGGAAAAUGACCAAUACACCAAUUCGAAAAAAUACACCAAUACACCAAUACCCUUGAGUCUGCUCAAGGGUGACAGUUUGCUCUGUUUGCUUUUUUUUUCUUUUUUUUUUUUUCAAGAAAUCCACCUUGAGAUGGUAGAAAUUUUGCAUGUAAUCCUUCCAGUUUGCUGAGAAAUAAAUGAAAAUAAAAUGAUUGAGCAAACAUAAAAGCCUAAUUUUCCACAUUACAUAUCAAACACCAGGGGCCUUGGCUUAGCAACGAGACCAAGUCCCGAUCACUUGUUCACGCUGCUAUUUCUUCUACCUGUGCAUUUACUUAUCUAUUUAUGUUUUCUUGUUGUACAUUCUUCUUAUUUUUUCCUUUUAAUUGAACAAUAAAGUCCAUGAAGCCAGUUAAAACUUAGAAUUAAUAACAAAGUUCUUUUCAUUUUCAUUUUUUUUGUUCAUCAAUAAAUAGAGGGUCAGUUUGUAGUCAAAAUCCUACUGUUUUAAAUCUUGAAACAUGCAUUAAUUAUCCACUAAAUCAUAAGCUCAUUCUCAUUUAGCAAACAACUCCGCAUUCUGCAGUAAACUCAAAGCAGAAAAUUUUCCAAGUAAUGUAUCACUGCUAGACAGUUUUUUUUUUUCAUCAGAAUUUUGAUGUAUUUUUUAAAAAGGUUAUGACCCUUUUCCCCGAUGAUGAUGAUGAUGAUGAAAAUAAUAAUGGUAAUAACCCCAGUGCACUGAAGCCAAACAUAAGCCCCAUUUGGUAAGUGAGUUUUUUGGGAAUUUGUCUAAAAUUUUACUGUAAUUUACUGAAGAAUUUAUAGAAAAAUUUUUUGAAGUGUGUAAAAAUUUCUUUAAGAAAAGAAAAACUUUCCUCUUUUUUCUCCUUUCUUUCCUUUCCGCUUCUUCUCCCCCACGCCACCGCAAUCUUUUUCUCCCUCCCACCUCACUAACUGCCCGUCCUUGCCAGCUACCAGCGGUAGAAACUUUCUUUUUCUCUCUCUCCAUCCUACCUCUCCUUUUUUUUUCUUUUCCCCUUUCUUUCCUUUCCUCUUCUUCUCCCUCACUCCACUGCAAUCUUCAUCUCCCUCCCUCUAUCUCCUCCUUCCCUUCUCCUCUCCCCUCUAUCUCCUCCUUCCCUUCUCUACUUCCUUCCUCUCCCCUCUUUCCCUUCUCCUCCUUCCCCUCUAUUUCCUCCACCCUCUCCUCCCCUCUGCCCCCGCCAUCUCCUUCCCCCUCCCUUCCCCGAUCAUGACUAGAUAUGGCAACUGCUUAUUCCUUAGAGUCAAGGCCGUUGUUAAUAAACCCGAAUCGACUCAACGAUUGAACCGGUAGGUCCGGUGACCCGACCAUUAGACCAACGGGGUCUCUAGUUUGAUCGGACAAGAAAUUGACCUGGUCAAACCCGAUUGACCCGGUAGUUCAACCGGAAACCCAGCCAAUUUUUCAAUUGACCCGAUUAACUUUUUUUUUUUUUUUUAAUUAUGGGUCUUUGUUUUUGAAACAAAAUGUAUAUAUGCUUUUGAUAAGGUUUGUAUACUGGAUCUUCAUUUAAAUAUAUAUAGACUUUACCACUUGUUUAGUUUUUAUUUAACAACUAAAUUUUUUUUAAUAAACUUGUUUAUUUUUUAUUAUACAAUUAAUCUUUUUAACUUUUAAACUGACAAUAUUUGAUUAGUUAGAAAAUUACUUUGUUUUUAAAUAAUAAUAAAAAAUAAUGCUAUAUUAUUGAAAAAAAACAAUAUAAAUUUUGUUUUAUACUUGACUAUAUUAUUUAUUUAUUUAAAAGUAUGAUAAAGUGAAAUUAAAUCUUCUAUUAAUAUCUAUAUAUUUAUUAUAUAUCUUUCUAAGUAUAUCAUUAGUAUCUAAAAGUACUUUAUUUUAUGUAUAUUAAAAUUACUAUUUUAUAUUUAUAAAUGUUAAAUUAAUACUUACCGGUUCAAGUAGUUAUCCCGUCCCUUUGCCGGAUUUCUUAUCAGGCCGGAUUUAAUAGCCACUCAAGGCUAUGACCCUUUGAUGUCGAGUACUACAGGUGACUCCUUCCCACUGGCAAUGGUGUUGUGAGUGGUUCCGGGAUUUCAGCACUCCAAACGGGUCAUCAUAUAUCUGAUUCUUGAACUCAAGCAGAGCAAGACGAUCAGUCUCAUUUUGAAAUUGUUUAGCAGCUGAAACAUGGCUUACUGAAAAGUUCAUGGCAACUCAGAGUACGAGAAAUAUGUUUGCUAAUGUCGAUGUGCGAAAUCCCCACAUGGUCCUUGUUGGGAUCGGCUACAAACUGAUGAUUGAAUGAUAAAAGUUUCUGUGGAUUGGGAACACGGUUGAGCAGUUAAAGAUUAGAGCUUAAUAAAGAAAUGGUCAGAAUUAAGCAUAUCGACCGUGAUCCAAUUCCUGGUACCGGUAGUUUUUCAAGCCACGAAAAUUACUUGCAAAGCAGAUCGGAAACAAUUAGAAGAUAAAUUCCCAAUGUUUUGCAUUAUGAAUCAUUCAUUCGUUAACCCGACAAAUUCUUAUCAAAGCAAAAGCUAUCUCUAGUGAAUUUUUCAUUGAUAUAUUAUUGAUCCAAAGUAAUUGUACAUCUAUAAAUAAAAUGAUGGAUUCUUAUGAUUUAACAAAAGGGAAAAUUGAUCGAAAAGCUUCUCAUAUUUUAUUAAAUAAAUUUUGUCAUUCCUGAUUUUUAAAUUAUUGACCUUACAUCGCUUACAAAAUCUAAAUCGAUCAAAUUUAGUCUCAAUUGGAUUCUCCGUAAAUUAUGAUGCAGUAUGAGAGAUGAUCAAUAGUCUUCCCAGUUUGGCCCACAAUUAAAAUCAAAUUUAACGGAAGAUGGACUCUCAACUUAGUCUAUCGUCAUCCGAACCAAUACCGAUGGGGGCCAUUCAGUGACUGGAUUAAUGAAUCAUAAUUCAAGACCCAUAAAUGAAACUAAAAAUUUUCCACACGAGUGAUUAUGAACCCCCUAGGGCUCUUUGCCAAGGGCCCAGUUAGCAGACUUAUUAAAUUGGGCAAACUGUACUAAUACCGGCUGAACCUUUUGAAAAAAUUUCUUAUUUUGUUCGCUUGAUUUUUUUUUCCCCAAUUCCAUUUGAUCAUUUAGCUUAGCUUAGAUGCCUCGUCUUUCCCAUUCGUCUAAUUUCUGCCUUUAUCUCACUGAUUAAAAGUUCCCAGAUUUAAUAUGGUAUCUACUCCAGAGACAUUUUCAUCUAUUGUUUUCGUCUGUUUAGAUCUAGAAAUGAGACAUACUGAUAAGAUAUGGGUAUUAAGUAUCGGAUUAAUAGAUGAAAUUGGAUGAAAUGGGCAAAAUAUGAUAUUUACUAUUAGGGUUUUUCUAACGGACGCCUUAAGGUACUCGAUAACACAUUUAAUAUUCACCUAACCUAUCAUAUAUAUAUACACACAUAUAUACACGUAUACUAACAAUCAUUAUCCUCCAUUGCAUUUAUAUACUUUCUCUAUUUAAUUUGGCUUACCAUCCCUUGUAUUUAUUUACUUUUUCUAAUUAACACCUGAAAUAUUGUUUAACGAUGCCCUAUAAAACAAACUGUUACUAUUAUUGUAUAACCUAUUUGAGACACCCCCAACAAAAUAGGAAUACAAAUAAAAAAGGUUAGUACAUUUAGACUGAUUAUGCAGGUGAUGAUGCAUAUGAUUAUCAUGUCUUUUAAUACUAAAUGAAGUUUUUUUUUUUUUUUUUUUAUGACCACCAUGGCCAUCGAUAACUUGAUCGGGCAAUGUAUGGAUAUGCUAGCAAGGGAACAUAUGGGCUUUUUGUGCAAUUGAUUCCUGUCCUCUACCCCUUUAUGUCGUUCUCAUUGUGACUAAGGCUCCGUUUGAUAACACUGAAUCUGAAUUCUGAAUUCUGAAUUCUGAAUACUGAAAUAAUUAAUUUGCUGAAUUUUAAGCACUGAAAAGAUAUAUAUGAAUGUCUGAAUCUUAAUGCUGAAUCUAUUUAUACUGUUUGAUAAAUAUUCAUAACUUAAUGCUUAAUAAGCUAAAUUGUACAAUUUUGUCCUUCUAUCUUUUAAUUCAAAAAGGAAAUAGAACCUAUGAUUUAAUUAAUUUAAAAUUGUUAGGUAUGAAAAUGACAAUGAUUGUGAAGAGCAAUUCAUACAAUGACAAUGUUUCUUUGUGUGGGAAAAGGGUAUGAUUUCAUCGUUUUGAAAAUGGGAAAAUGAGCUUUUAAUACUCCAAAAGCACGUUCAAUUACAUUUCUCAAUCUUGCAUGUGCUUGGUUAAAGCGUUCUUCUUUUGAUCUUGGACGAUAAGCAUUUCGAAAAUCAGACAACCAAUAUCUAAUAUUUCGAUAUGGUGUCAUAAAGCCACGUGUGUGGAUAAGCUGCAUCACAUAAAUAAUAUUUAUCUGCACAAAAAAAUAUCAAAAUAUAAAUGUUUGUGGAUGAAAAUUACUGCAAAAAAAUACUACUAUUGUUAAAAAAAAUUUUUGAAUAGAGAAUAUCAGGUUGUUUUGUUUAAUUAGAUAAGGAUUUUGAAUAGGGAAUAUUAGGUUGUUUAAUUAAAUAAGGAUUUUGAAUGUAAUUAACAAAUAGGGAUAUAUUUGGUAGAUAAGAUAAAGCAGUUGAAGUAAAUCUCUUGAUUCUUAUCAAAUUAAGCAUUCAGCUACGAUUCUUGUGCUGAAAAAAAUACAUACAAAUUCAGCACCACUUAAUAAGUUCAGCAAGUGAAUUUUUAUUUAUCAAACACUCAUAACAUCUGAAUGUCUGAAUGAAUUCAGUUUCAGCACUUUUUUAUGUUAUCAAACAGGCACUAAGAUUUCAUGUGGUAGCAAAAUCAACAUUCAAAGAAAGGCAUGCUAAUGUAAAUCAAUCAUAGGAGCAAGAGCAUGCCCUGUAAUUAAGUACUGUACGAUUUAUUGUAUAAUGUUUAUUAUGGAAACAUAAGAUUCAAAACAUUCAGUUCCUAUAAAGAAAGAGCAUACCACAUGAACAGCUAUCAGUUCAGUUCAUAUUUGAGUCGUCCAUUUAAUUUUUUAAAUAAGAGAGCCAAAGGUGUCUUCUUUAGCUGCUCACACAGCUAUCAACUUCAGCUCAGAGAUUCAGACCAACAAACAGCUGCAAAUCCAGAUACAUCUUUUUCCACGCUAGUGAGCACAACACAUAAUUCCUUUUUUUUUUCUUUUUCUUUUGGCUAAAAUAGAUUCUGAAUGGUAGAAGUGAGUUAGCUUGCAAGACUGGUCAAGAAAAAAUCGUUUAUCUAAAAUAGAAAAACUGAACCUCAAUUUGUGACUGUAUUAAAUUCUCAUAUAUACCAGUUGCUAUUAAACUUCAAGAUUUUCCUGAGCUACCCUGACACCAAGAAAAACACCCUUAAUGAGAUGUAAUUCGCUGACAACUUCAUUCAUGUGCAUCCGAUCAUUUGGCAAUCUUUGUGAGCAUUUGAGGCCGAGUUCCAACAGGGAAAUAACACACUCCAUCUCUCUUCCACCAUUGAUCAUUCUUCUGUUUCCAUCUCCUGCUUUACAAAGAAUCAAGGGGUCCACGAUCUCACAAACUUGUUCAGACAGAGCUCUAUUAACAUAGUUAUGCAGAUCUAGCUCAUCCAUAAACAUAUCAUCCGUUGGCCUCCUCCUAGUGAUCAUCUCUAGCAAGAGAAUCCCAUAACUGUAGACAUCCCCAAGAGUUGAUGCCGCAAGACCCAUUCCGUAUUCUGAACUUUGUACAAGAAAAUCUUUAAAAAAUAGGGAAAAUUAUCUAAGGGAGAUAAUUGGAUCAAUUGUUUAGACAUAUAAUUUAGGGAAGGGGUGGGUUGGGCUGAACCUCCUACUUAUAAUAAUUAAAACAAAACCUAUAAUUUGAGAGUUUGAUUAGUCUGCACACAAUUAAGUAAAAUCUUGACAACAAAAAUUUGCAUUACCUGUGGCUGCGUAACCGAUUGUUCCUUUUAUAGCAAUGGUACUGCUACCUUCUUGCUCGGAAGAUCUGUUGACGGGUUUCGGGAGAAGCCUUGCCAAUCCAAAAUCACCCACAUGUGCAACAAGAUCACUGUCAAGAAGAAUGUUACUUGGUUUUAGAUCACAAUGAACAAUCUCUGCUUCACAGUGGUUGUGAAGAUACUGCAAUGCUGAAGCCACAUCAAUUGCAAUGUUCAGCUUCUGAGAAAGAUUAAGGCUUCUUGAGCUUGUUGGUUUAUCAGUUGUCUCUGGAUGCAGCCACAGGUCCAGAUUUCCAUUUUCCAUAAACUCAUAGACUAGAGCUUUGAAUUCAUCAUCCUUGGAAUCAAUACUGGAGCAAUAACUCACGAUAGAGACAAUGUUUCUAUGGCGAAUAUUUCUCAAUGCUUUGCACUCGGCCUUAAAACUUGUGGAAGCCCCAUUCUUUCGAAGAUCAAGAACUUUGACUGCUACAAGCAUAUUGCCAUGUUUAUCUAGCCUUCCUUUGUAGACAGCUCCAAAAUUUCCUGAACCAAUUAAGUUUUCUGGAGAAAAUCCUGAAGUUGCACGAUGAAGUUCAUGGUAAGAAAUUCGCAAAAGCUCAUCGAUUCUUGGGGGCAUGCUAGAGAAUCCGGCCACCGGUCUUCUUUCUCUUUUUCGAUAUACCAAGAAAUAUAACACUGUCACAAGAACCAGAAGCGUUGCCGGUAAAAGAAUGGACAGCAAUAUGACAACCUUCAGCUUUCCUCUGUUUUUCCCCUUAAUCACUGGGCAAGGAGGGAACUCCAAUUCUGGAAUGCCUCCACAGAGUUUGUUGUUGCCAAUCAAUGAUAUCUGCCUUGCAUUGCUGAAAAUCCCUGUGUUUGGUAUCUCGCCCUCGAUGUCGUUGUAGGAAAGGUUUAAGUACCUCAAAUAUUGAAGCUUCUCAAGGUCCUUUGGUGUUGGACCAGUCAAGUUAUUACUUGAAAGGUCUAAUUGCUGGAUGCUCUUCCAAGAAGCCAAAUUUGGUGGAAUUGUUCCUUGGAAAAAAUUGGAUUGCAUAUAAAGAUUCUCCAGAUCUGUACAAUCAGCAAGUGAUAUGGGUAUAUCUCCAGCAAAUUGGUUGUGGGAAACAUUGAAAUCCACCAAAUGUAUAAGCUUUCCAACUUCCGGAGGCAGAGAUCCACUAAACGAAUUCUCACCUAUUUUCAUGUACAUCAGUGAUGAGUGCGUCUGCAGAAAAUGUGCUGAAAUAAUUCCAGUGAAGUUGUUUUGAGAUAUAUCCAGAUAUUGCAAAUUUUGACAGUUCAUAAGAACAUUGUCAAAUAUAUUGCCCCCUUCAAACUGGUUAAAUGAUAAGUCCAGAUAGAAUAGAUUGGUGUUGUUGCAUAGGGUAGAGACUAUCUGUCCUGACAAGUCAUUAUGGUCCAGACGCAAUCCUUGCAAAUUUGGUAACUUGCCAAAAUCUCUUGGAAUAAUCCCUGAAAAAGAGUUCACUUCAAGGCCAAGUUGAAUUAGGUUGACAAAGUUUCCAAAUCCUUGUGGAAUGGUUCCUGACAGUUGGUUUCCUCCCACGAGCAAUUCAGUGAGUUGAUUUGAGAGAUUGGCCAUGAUUUUAGGUACAUUACCUCCAAGUUUAUUGCCACUCAAGGAAAGAAUUCUUAGAUUACUGCAGUUGGUCAGUGAUGCAAUAAAAUCCAAAUCUCCUGUAGAAUUAUUGCCGAAGAGAUUGUGAUAAAGAUUAACACUUUUGAGUUGUGUCAGAUUUCCUAAAUUAGCUGGAACUUGGCCUUCAAACUUAUUGCGGGAAAGAUCGAGUACCUCAAGCCCAGAAGCAUUGGUGAUUGAAAUUGGAAAGUUUCCCCCAACACCUAAUUCUUCCAGAUUUGGUAAGGUGAGACCUAUGUUGGUUGGGAGAUUGCCAUGAAAGGAAUUGCCGGCCACUGAAAUGACAGUAAUGGCUGAACUAUUAAAGAUGGAGGCAGGGAUUAUACCAGAUAGUUUAUUUUCUGCAGCUGAAAAUAUAGAUAACCUUUUUAAGAGCCCCAUUUCCAUGGGCAAAUUUCCCUCCAGAUUGUUAAAGGCAAGACUGAGUGUAGUCAGCGAUGAUAAGUUCCCAAUGGAGGAGGGAAUCUCUCCUGUCAAAUUGUUUGCGUGAAGAUAAAAAUUUUCAAGCUUCUUCAAAUUGCUCAGCUGAUCAAUCGGAAUUUUCCCUUCUAGCUUGUUCUCGAUUAGGCUAAUGGUUAGCAACUCUGAGCAGUAGUUCAAGUUUGCCGGGAUUUUUCCACUGAUUGCGUUACUUGAGAGGUUCAAGGCUCUCAGCCUGAAGAGGCGACCGAAUUCUUGGGGAAUCUCACCAUGGAAUUGACUCUCCCCAAGUUCCAUAAACCUCAUGAAGCUUAGAUUUCCGACAUGAGGAGAUAUGGUUCCAGACAACUGCUUAUCCCUUAGAGUCAAGUACUGCAGGUGACUCCUUCCCACUGACAAUGGUGUUGUGAAUGGUUCCAAGAAUUCAGGACUCCAAACGGGUCAUCAUAUAUCUGCUUCUUGAAUUCAAGCAGAGCAAGGCGAUCGGUCUCAUUUUGAAAUUGUUUAGAAGCUGAAACAUGGCUUACUGAAAAGAUCAUGGCAACUAAGAGAAGGAGAAAUAUGUUUGCUAAUGUUGAUGAUGAGCGAAAUCCCCACAUGGUAUUGGGAACUUCCAUGAGCUGUUGGAUGCGAAGAUGGAUUAAUUUGCAACAAAUUGAUGAUUGAAUGAUAAAAGUUUCUGCGGAAUGGGAACAAUGUUUCUGCGGAAUGGAAUGGGUAGUUCUGCUUAUAUUAGCCCAAACAACUGGAACGAAAUAAUUUCUUGGUAUAUUUUCGAGUAAAAUGAGCUAAACUUCGUUUUGAGAACUUAAUGCAGAAAUGGUCAGCGAGCUUCCACCAACUUACAAUUUAGUAACCUAAUAAAACAAACACGCAAGAUGAUUAUUGGUCCUUUACGUAUCAACGACCAUCAAUUUGGAAAAUGGCCUAGACAGCGACUUUAUAGAAAUCAAAUGCGCUUCUAUUUCUAAAUUCUAGCGUGCAUUUUUCAGUCAAUCUGCCUAGGGGAGUCAGUUGCUCUGCUCUAAGUCUACACAAACAUACAAAACUGAGCACAAAUAAUUUAUCUGAGGUUGGAGAAAAUGUAUUCUUUUUUCUUGACCUAAACAAUAAAAGUAUUCUCUUUGUCUUAGUUAGUUAUAUUUUUAUUCCUUUUUCCUCAUCUUCUAAUUGACAACCAACCUAAUGUCUUCUCUCAACUUACACUUCUUUGUGUGUUUUACGAGAUGUCAACCACAAUUUUUGCGAUGACUAGUCAGCGGCGGAUUUGUAUGUAGGGGCAUGGAGCACCGAAUUCCAUUAGUAUAGCCUUCAAUUUUAGUAAUUUUUUCGCUUUGCCCCCCAAUAAAUUUUCCUCAAAAGUGAAUGCACCGCUCCAAAAUCAAAUGACUAGGUUUGCAAUUUGAUGGAAUUGGAAUACUAAACAAUUCAAAAUCAAAUGCUUUUUACUCUAAUCAUUUGGUUUCCUUGAAAGUCAUUUUAAUUUACUACUCAUUAAUUAAAUACUUUCUUUGGACUUUUUCCAAUAAAAUAAAUAUGGAAUUAAGUAAUCCUUUGUGAAAUGAACAAUAAAGAGAAAGCAAUAUUUUCCAAUACAGCAUACUUAACAAUAUCGUAGGCAAACGAGCAGAUUAAAAAUGUUUAGCAUGCUUUUUUAAAAGAAAAUGAUUAUUUUAUUAGUAAGUUUUAGCAUGUCAUUUUGGGUUAUAUUAAUCAUGAUAUGCAUGUAUUACAUUUACUUGUUAUACAAAUGCUAUUGUUAUGGCUUUCAGAAAAAAAAAAAAAAGAAGAAACUUUAAUAUUAAUUUUGCUUCUGCUAGAAAUUAUUUCUGGCUCUGCGCUGUGACUAGAGGUGGCAAAUCAACCCACUUAACUAAAUUUACCCAUACCCGUCCGUGAAUAGAUGGGUAUGGGUAUCUUAAAUUUUUGUAUAUGGGUAUAAAUGGGUUACCCAAUAAUACUCAUUUAUUAAAUGGGUAUUAUUGAGUAACCCAUCAAACCCAAUUAACCCAUUUAGAAUUCUCUUCCCCCCAAGUCUCUUCUUUACCCCCACCUUUUUUGUUUCAAAUUUUUUAUUUUGUCAUGAUGUUAACUACUUUUGUUUCAUUAUUAUUAUUAUUAUUAUUAUUAUUAUUAUUAUUAUUAUUAUUAUUAUUAUUUGUUGGUUUUAUCUUAUUAUUUUAUUUUCUCUUAGUUUGUUAACUUGCUCAUUUUUUAGCAUUACCAAUUUAUGAUAAAUUUUAGCCUAUUUUCUUAUCUUUAUAAAAUGAAAUUUUAAAUUUAUAUAUGAAAAAAAUGUUAGGGGUUCAAAAUUUUUGGAUUAAGUUUUUAUAUUAAUUUUUAUAGUAUUUAGUUCAAAUUUUUAUAUUCUUAUUAUUCAAUUAUUAAAUAAUAGGUAAUUUUGUGACAGAGUAUAAAUGAAAAAAAAUUGGUAAUUAAGUUUAUUGAACAUUAUAAGUAAAUAUUUAAAACUAAUAAUGGGUACAAAAAGUUGUGUAAAUUGAUAACUUAGUUUGCAAAAAUGAAUUUAAAUUAGUUUACAAAAAGUUAAAAUAAAUGGAUUAUAAAUGGGUAAUUGGGUUAUCCAAUUCAUUUUUUGACUUACCCAUUUAUACCCAUCUAAUUAAAUAGGUAUAAAUGAGUUGACUCACUUAUACCCAUUACCCAUUUUACCCAACCCAAACCCGCCCAAGUCACCCAUUUUGACACCUCUAGCUGUGACCGGUGUAAAGGUUUCCAUUAGCAUGUUCGUAUCUCAGAAAACUUUUUCUAUGAGAAACAUUAUUUCCAAAAGCUAAACAGUAAAAUUAAUAGAAUGGAAAAAUCGUCCAACAGAUCAAAUUUGGUUCAAAGUUUUAUGCAUGAUUAAGUUUCUUUCUUAUUUAUUCUUAGGUAAGUUAUACUUUAUCAUCUUGUGUAUCAGAGCCUUUGCACAUAAUCCCUUCGUGAUUAAACUAAAGUGUCAAGCGAUAGGAGAUAACGUUCAAACUAUAGAAUCUCACCUCAAACAAAGACCCUAGGAAGUAAUUGGAUCUACCAUUGUUUUUGGUAUAAAAGUUCCUAUAAAAUUGGGAAAUGCCUAUAAUGGAUUAACUGAAAUGUCAAGAUUACCCUCGUUUCAAAGCUAAAAUGACUGGAAUGGCAAAAAUAUAUACAAAUGUAGUAUGCAUUACACUUUAGCCCCUAUAAUUUAGCAUUUUUGCAAAUAACCCUCUUACGAUUUUCUAAUCUAUGUAUAACCCUCAUCAUGUGGUUAAUAAAUAAUUUCCAUCUUGACAUUGGAAUAAUUCUAAUAUUUUAAUCAACUUUGCCACAAAGGAAAAAUGUGAGGAAACCAUAUUUUUAAUCAACUCUUAAAACCAUAGGAGAGCUAAGUGAUAGCUCAAUCCCACACCAUAAAGUUAAGACAUGUCAGACUAGAAUAUAAAUAGGAAUUUAAGAGUUCAAAUUAAAAUUGAGACAUUCAUUUUGUCCUAAUUAGGACGGAACUUAAAAUCUUAAAUAAUUAGAUUUGACCGCUAACGCUCGGGGUUAGGUGAACAGAUUUUCAAGCUAGGGCCUCUUUUUUGGAAUGAUAACCAAUUAUAAGGGUCCAUUUGGUUCAUGGAUGAUAUAGAAUUGGAUUAAUCAUCCUGUGUGUCAUUCCGUAUUUGGUUGCAUUUUAUAUAUAAGAUGACACAUUCCAAUUAAUCGAAUUAAUCCCCUAUAUAUGGGAUAAAAUAAUCCCAUGAAAGAGGUGAUAUUAGUCAUCCUGGAAUGACUAAGAGAUAGGAUGAUGAAAUAUUAGACUAACUUAUUCUUACAAAUAAUAUAAAUUUAUACUAUCAUAAUUAUAUAACCUUACCCUCACAUGAUAAUAUACUAUGAAUAGACUAAUUUGCCCCUACAAAUUAAUUUAUAAUUUUUGACUAAUUUGCUUCUACCACUAACAUAACAAUAUUUGAACUAAUUUGCUCUUGCGAAUGAUACAAAUUCAUACUGAAUAUUAUAUAACCAUAUUCUCACAUAAUAACAUGAUAAUAAAUGGAUUAAUUUGCCCCUACUAAUUAUAUUAAAAGAUUACUAAUUUGCCCCCAUUCAUUUUUUAAAAUUUUUGACAAAUUCACCCUUAUUAAUUAAUCUAAAUUUUUUGACUAAUUUGCCCCUACUUCAUAAUAAAAGGACUAUAUUAUCGGUGGACUAAAUUGCCCUUACAAACCUUAUUUUCUCAACCAAAUUCUAUAGAAAUACAUAACCUUAUCAAUUGGGCUUUGCAAAUGAGGGCUUCAAUAAGCUCCACCUUCGCCCAGAGAAAAAUUUUCUAUAUUGGCUUGAGUUUGGUUGAUUUAAGGGAUAAUUUCAGAAACCUCCCCUGAGGUUUCUGACAAUUUCAUUGAGCUCCCAUAAGAUUUGAAAAAUUGCACUUACCUCCCUUGAUUUGAUAGUUUUAGUAACAAAAUCUUAAAAUAAUAUUGACUUGGUCAAUUUUUAAAUGAAUACCCAAAAAUAUCCUUGUGUAAUGAGUUUUAAUUUAUUUUUCUAUACAAUUAUAAGAUUAUAUAAUAUAAUUAUAAGGAAAAUGUGCCAAAAUUUUCAUGUUCAUAUCUACUAUUUGAUAAACAACUAUAAUAAUAAUUUUAUUACUAUGAUAUGAUACUUUUGAUGGUAUUUUAUUAUGGAUUUAGAUUUAUAAGAUAGAAAAAAUAUUGAAAUAAUUAAUUUAGAAUUUAUGAAUUUUUGGAGUAGUGGGAUUAUCAUAAUUUAAUAGUGCUUUUGGGCCAUUUCUUUUUGAUUUAUUGUUACUUUUAAUACCAAAAAUAGAAAACAAAGAUCAGCAAAAAACAUUGGAUUACAUAUAAAAUUAAUUCGUCAAAAAAAUCACUAGUUCGACAUUUGGUUAUAAUAGAAACUAGGGCAAUAGUGGUAGUUUUACAAUUUUAUUAGCGAAAAAUUAGAAAAAAAUGAAUAAGAAGGAAAAAUAAUGAAAAAUAAUUUUAAAACUCAUUCUAAGUAUAAGUAUACAAAAUAAGGGAUUUUCAUUAAAAUAUUUAGGGUUAAAUGCAAAAAACCCCCACAAACUAUAUACCCAGUUGCAGUUUACCCCCUAAACUAUAAUAAUAAGCAUUUUCGCCCUUGAAUGAUAUGUUUGGACAACACUACCCCUACUAUCUUAAAUCCUUUCUCUUUUUUUUUUCUCUAUUAGCUUUUUUCAUUUUUUCCUUUUAUUUUCUUUUUUUCUCCUUCUCUCGUGGAACUAGCCAACGUCUCUCUCCGAUGUGAAAAGACUUACAUAAAAAAUUUUACAAUUUUUUAAACUGCUUUUUAAUUUCUUUAUUUGUUAAAUUCAUUCUUAAUUUUUUGUCAUAAAUUCUUUGUUAUUACAAAAUAUAAGUAGCUUAUAUUGUAAAGUGUAUUAAUCUAGUUAUUCAACAAUUUAAGUACCUAUAAACUAAUUAAGAGUUCACAGUUACUCAACUACUUAUAAUAAAAGUAACAUAUUAUAUAUCACAUAAAAAUGAAAAGUUAGCAAUUUUUAUUUGUAGUGAAAUAAAAAAUAAGAAUAAACAACAAUAGUAGUUCAUUUUGUUUGUUAUUGAUACUACUAAUAAUUGAUUAAUCAAUUUCUCUAUUUUAUUAUUAUAUAUUUGAAAAGUUCAAUUUCUUAAAUGACAUUGACUUCAAUAUUUGGAAAAAAAAUCUUGUAUUCCAUAGAUUUUUUUUUAUAAAAUAUUGACAUACGAAAUUAAGAAAUAAACAAAUUUUGACUAAUCUAGUCUACUUAUUUAAACAAUGUUUAAAGAAAAAAAAGGAAGAAUUUAAAAAGAUAAUGAUAGGGAAAAAAGAAAAAAUAACAAUGCUUAAAAUAAAAGGGGUAGAUUUGUCCAAACAUAUCAUUCAAGGGGGCAAAAUGCCUAUUAUUAUAGUUUAGGAGGUAAACUGCAACUGGGUAUAUAGUUUGUGGGGGUUUUUUGCAUUUAACCCAAAUAUUUAAGAGUACAAUUGUCAUUUUAAAUGACAAGGGAGGUAUGUGUAAUUUUUCAAACUUCAGGGGAGCUCAAUGAAAUUGUCAGAUAUCUCAGGGGAGGUUUCUGAAAUCAUCCCUUGAUUUAAAACUCUUAAGUGGGUUGGACUUUAUUCAAUUUAACCCUCGUUUAGCCAAAACUCGGCCAAUUUUUUAAUUGAAUUUCAAAUUUAGAUUCAAAAACUAGGUUAAACUUAUUUUUAAAGGUCCGAAUGGGUUGAGUUUGAGUGAAUGCAAAUUUUUAUAUAUUAAAACUCUUGAUUUAUUUUAUAAUUCUAAGGUUUCAAAUUAUUUUAUUUUAAUAAAAGUUAUAAAUUAUUAAAUUAUUUUACUAAAACGAUCCUACAAAUUAAGGGGUACUUUGAUCAUUAAAAUAGUAAUCUUAUCUCAUCUAAUAUCUAAUCAAACACAUGAUUGAGUUAUUUUUCAAUAUAUCAUAUUCAACCUAGAACCAACCAAACACUAGAUAACUUGGAUUAUUAAUUUGAGGAUGACUUAACCCAGGAUUAAUAAUCCAAGGAUGAGUCUUUCUAUUUCAUCUGGUCUGUGAACUAAACAAACCCUAAAGCCCUGAAAACAAAUAAAUUGGGUAAUAAGGUAGGAGCCUUUAUGCUUACAAAUCAAAUGAUUUGGAUGUAAAAUGGCUUAUCGUCCUCUCAACUGUAUAUAAAUCUAUGCCUUUUUUUAAUUUUGAAUAAUUACCAUUAUUUUAGUUCAACAGAUGGAUGGGCUAAAUGUAGACGUCUCACUACUAAAUGCACACGUUUUAUUAUUCAAUUAAAUAAAAAGAACAAAUGCUUAAAAUAGAGAAAACGAUCCUUUGCAGACUGAAUAAAAAGUUGGCAUUUUGGCAAAAAAAAAAAAAAAAGAGUUGGCGCGUCGAUAAAUCCCUGCAGACUGUAGUUUUUUUUUUUUCUCUUUUUUUUGGAGCAAAAUAGAAAAGAGUUAGAUAAAUCACCGUUUGUGCCACCACAAAAAUUACAGCAAAAUGCCACCUAUGAUAAAGCGAAUUCAUGCUAGAUAUAAAAUCUGUUUCAAUGGAAAAAAAAAGUUUAGUAAAACUUUUAAGUGCAUUUAUUUCAAAUGAAUGCAAUUAUUGGAACUAAUUACACAUAAUAAUCACUACAAAUGAAUAUUCAAAAAUAGCUCAAUAAAAAUAUAGUUACCUGUAUGUUCAAACAUGAGGGAAGACGGCAAUAAAGGCACGGGGAGCUGGGGAAUAAGAUCAAUUAUAUUCCCAGAUAUUGGUGGCUAAAAAACUUCUUUAACCCAAUCUUCAAAUGCUCGAGCAGAGUUGAGCCGGUUGACUUCAACUUUUAAAUCAGCAUGACUAACACGACAAAACAAGAAAAUAAAAUGUUUAAAGCAUACAUUUAUUUUCCAAGUAAAAAUCCAUAAGUAUGUAUCUCUUCAAGAGUGCACCAGCUAGCAAUUUCACCUCGGAGCUUCAGAUCUGCAUACAGCUGCAAAUCCAAAGAAAGCCACGCGUUAUCCCUUCCCACCAAGAAGAUAUCCAUUUCCUUGCUAGGGAGUGAAUUAAGACUGACAGGGUGUCGAAGCCUGUGCAAUAAUAAAUACCUGCUCAAACUAAAAUUAAUUUCUGUAGAUAGCGGUGAGCAGGGUCGAAUCCACAGGGACUGGGAGUAAUUGUUUCUUUUCAAGUUCACAGUGACAAGGGGGGUGUUUUUAUGCAGAAAGUGACAAUCAAAUAAAUGCAAAUAAAAUCUAAGAAGCUACUAAAAAUUAAAUAACAAAUUACCAAAAUCAAAUGAAUGAUAAUUAAGGAUCUAGCCAAGGAAUAACUUCAGCAAUGGUUCACCCAAUUGAUCAUCGAUAAGCAAAGGCAAUCCCAAUUAUUUACUAAUAAAUAGGUUAUAACUGCCAAACAAGCGAUGACAGUCAACCCCUCCUUACUGUGUCGAUGAUUAAGGUACGCCCGUUAAUCACUGCUCUAAUUGAGAAAUAAUCCUAGGUACGCCCGUAGAAUUUAAUUCCCCAAUUGCCUUACGUAUUAGAGGAGCCCUAUUCUAAUCAAAUAACGCACUACCAGGGUUAUUUUAGAUUAGCCCGUGUAUUCCCCUGACACAAGUCUAAUUAUGCCAGUUGCCACUAUUUUAGAGCAAUUAAACAAUUACGGAUUUAAUGCCCUAAUUGACAAUAGAUUAUCCAAUCAACUAAUUAUCUGGAUCCAAGACAAUCAAUUAAUUAAAUAACCAUAAACAUAGCAACCAAGAAAUAUGCGGAUACCAAUAAAUAAAAGAAAAAGAUAAAAUUAAAUCGAUCUCACAAAUUUUAGGCGACCCAGAGCCUUCGUUGUCCCUUGACUAGACAAAGGGAUUUAGUUCAUGUUUGCAGAACAAAGCCCAAACAGAAUUGCAGAGAGAGACGCAGCCAUCAAUUGGGCAAAUGCCCAAGUUCAAUUCGUUUGAAGGAGUAAGCUAAGCUAUCCUGCCAUGCGUAAGAAAAGUAAAAAGCAAAGCUCCAGGAAAAGUCAACAAUAAAGCUCCUAAGCUACAGACGAAAGACUAAGCAAAGCCAGCCAUCCUUUCCUCUCUGAAGCAUUCUACUCUAAUGCCUCGCCAUUGUGCGGCGGCUCUCCUCCGAGAGGAGGAAAAUUCGAGAGAGACCCAAGAAGACUUCGGCCUCCUCCUUUUAAUGCUGUCUGCGGGCCAAUUACCAAGAAGGGUUGUGGUUUGAUAUUCCAAAAAUGUCCCUAGAUGCCUGCUACUUGAACUCUUUCUUGAUAAUUGUCAAAUUGGCCUUGAUUGUGAUAUUUUUGUUCUACUCCCUGAAAUAAAUAUAAAUUACGAAAAAUGAGUAGAAUCUAAUAAUUAAUUCAUAUCAAGUUAGGUAAUAGGGGAAAUUAAUAAUAAAAUAAAUGACAAAAUUGCAACCUAUCAA
Molecule: long non-coding RNA, 28331 nt
Filed under: Coffea arabica (coffee)
Lineage: Eukaryota; Viridiplantae; Streptophyta; Magnoliopsida; Gentianales; Rubiaceae
Description: long non-coding RNA (CARA_LNC005745)
Source: RNAcentral